UACAUAUUCAUCAGCCUCGGUGCUCACGACCGAAAUGAGCCGACACAGCUUUGGAGAAGAGAGAGCAGUGUGACAUACAGUGCAGUUCUCUCAGGCGUGCUGCAGAAGUGGAUAAGUCAGCCGCAGCCAGACUGACGUGACGCGAUCAAGUGCAUCGACGCCGGGUUCAAAGGUGCAGAGGCAGAGAGAGGGAAAACAGAAGCACGCCAAUCAGCAGGGAAAAGGGGAGGAUGCAAGCCUGCUGCGACGAGGAACUGACAAGGAGAUGGGGGGAGAGGUAAGAAAGAGUCACGGGUUAAUGCCGAGGAAGGGACUGGCAGCAGGAAUAGGCGCUGAAACCCCUGGAGCCAUGACGAGAUGAUCCAUGGCACGUGGAGGCAGGGAGUUUCUGGAAAGGCUUGGCACUCCGCCUGAGGAAGUCCCUGCACUGGAGCGGGCCUGGCAUGGACGCUGCAAGUUCAGCAAGCUGAACGUGACAGCAGCGCCGGCUCAGCGCAGACACUCCAGUUUUCUCGGUAGUUUAGUGAAAACGAAGACGAUGGCGCUCAUCGUGUCUGCGGGGCUAUUAAAGGAAACCACAACCUUUGCAUCACCGCCUCUCCUCGCUCGCUCCUGCCGGCUUCUCGUCACUCGAGGUUGCACGCCAACAAGGGUGGUAACGUGCUUUGGCAUGGAGGUGCUCCACGCAGGCCAAGACAAACACAGCAGCGCACACUGACAGACACCGAGGCUUGUGAAACAGCACAGCUUGUCGUUUUUGUGGGAAAUUACCUUCAAAGUUAAUAUUUCUCACCUUUAUAACCACAUAACACAGAAACGACCGGCACACCUGACGUUAGAGCAGUUUUAGGGAAGACGUGUCUCUGUGUGAGACAAAUAUGGAUUUUUCAAAAGCUCUUUACUACCCGACAGGUAAUAAUUUAACAUGUACUGCAUGUCUCAUUAAAGAGCUGCAAUAAGCAGACAGUAACUAUCCAGCUGCUCAGAGUUUGAGGUAGUUUAAUUCGAGCGCUUCGACAGACACCUUCCCUUAAACUGCUGUAUGAUUGCAGCAAAUAAUCUAACGUCAAAAUAAAAAAGACAUCUGACACUCGUGACCACAAAACGGCAACUUCCCCAAAAAAGCUGUGAAAAUAUCAGUUUUUUAAAAACGACUCGUAUUUAAUGAUACUUUUGGGAUUUUAACCCUUUAUAGAACAGCAUGUUUGCACACCCGUACAGCUGCUGAUGUUUAUUAUUAAAACUAAAAUUAUUUCAAUAAGUAGUAUAGGAUUCUUGAGAUAGGUCAUUGGCAGCAACAUUUCAUAUAUUAUUACAAUAUUAACCCUUUAAAGAGGGACUCCAGCUGAGGUGGAGCAAACGCACAGGCUGGUCUUUGCAUGGAAGCUUCCGGCGCUGCUGCCAGCUCUGCUCUUUCUGUCCGUGCAAAAGUAACACCGCUGAUGAGAGGGGCUCGCAGCAGCACCCUGCAGAUUUAAACGGAUUCAUUUUUUGACCUGUUAACACAAACGCAGUUAGUCUGUGUCCACAUAACCCACUGAGUGAGUCCCGUGCAGGUUUGUCAUGGCCACAGUUUGCUGCAGGAUUUCAUGCAUCAGCAGCAGUGCAGAGCUGUGGCAGGAGGUGUACGUCCCAGGAUCAAACCUCUGGCUGCUGGGACAUCGCAGGGCGUUGCAGUCUGAGUGCGAGACCAAAACAUGGAGAUGGAGAAGUCCAUCCUGUCACUGAGUCAGGGUUGGACUCUAGCUGGUCUGUUUCUACCUGGCAAAUACGAGUUAUAGUCAUUUAGCACAGACAAAAUAGCACGAAGAUAAACCACACAAUGUCUCCGGGAUCAUCCGAGGCUGAAACAAAUAAAUAUCAGAUAAAUGCAGAACUGCCCACUGUAAGAAACCACUACAGUGAGGUCAGGUCUGUCAAAGACCUAAAUCGGAUGAGAUAAGCCGCAUAUUCUAAUUAUGUUAGCUAUAAGCUUUGUAAUAACCAGAUACUCCAGCCUUUUUAUUUAGCUAGAAAUUGUUCACUCAUUAGCUAAUAUUAUCUACAGAGCUAGCAGUAGCUACGACCCAACAUACACCGUCUGAUGAGCUAACGAUAUCAUCCCAGGUAAACAAUGUUUCCCCAGAAGAUCUGUUAUCAAUGAUUUUACCUACUCAGCUAGCAACCACAGGCUAAUGAAGUACAGUACAGUAGCUAACUUCAUGGCUAUCGUUUCUGCAAUGCUAGCAUAUAGUAACAUUUAAAAGAAAGCAAUGCUAAUAAACUCAAUGUUUAUUGAUAGAGUUAACCAAAGAAACAGCACACACGCUAAUUUUGCUGACACAUUGCAACUAGCUUCUCAAGUAUUCUGCUGACUAUUAGCAAAACAAACUGAAAGACUGACACUCUGUAACAUUAACAGUCAAAAAAGCAACAUUGAUUCAGAUAAAUUCAGCUUAUUCAGUUGAAGGCGGCGUUAAUUCACAACUAUUCAUGUCUAAAAAUGUUAUUCAUCUCUUCAAGUCCUCGACUGAAAGAGAGAAAAUGCUACGGAGGACCAGACAGAAACAGCGAGCGACUGUAUUUGAUCAGGAUGAAAAUAUGAUGACAAAGCUGUGGCUCAAUAGAUCUGGACAGACAAGUGUUACUCUAAUCUAUAUUUUGAAAAUGAUCUCUUAAGUUUGUCAUUUCCCCGUCUGUGAUAAUAAAAAUGUCAUCACGUA
This is a long non-coding RNA of Astatotilapia calliptera (eastern happy), 2702 nucleotides long. The record is from Ensembl. Lineage: Eukaryota; Metazoa; Chordata; Actinopteri; Cichliformes; Cichlidae.